CCUACGGGGCGCAGCAGUGAGGAAUAUUGGUCAAUGGGCGGAAGCCUGAACCAGCCAAGUCGCGUGAGGGAAUAAGGCCCUACGGGUCGUAAACCUCUUUUGCCGGGGAGCAAGGGCGGGGACGUGUCCCGGCCCGGAGAGUACCCGGAGAAAAAGCAUCGGCUAACUCCGUGCCAGCAGCCGCGGUAAUACGGAGGAUGCGAGCGUUAUCCGGAUUUAUUGGGUUUAAAGGGUGCGUAGGCGGAAUGCCAAGUCAGCGGUAAAAUCGCGGGGCUCAACCUCGCUCCGCCGUUGAAACUGGCGUU
This 305-nucleotide ribosomal RNA is filed under the name uncultured bacterium. RNAcentral describes it as "bacterial SSU rRNA". It matches the Rfam family "Bacterial small subunit ribosomal RNA", at positions 338 to 640 of the family's 1533-position model. The record is from RNAcentral.